CCUACGGGUGGCAGCAGUGAGGAAUAUUGGUCAAUGGGCGAAAGCCUGAACCAGCCAAGUCGCGUGCGGGAUGACGGCCCUACGGGUCGUAAACCGCUUUUGUACGGGAACAACUCGCUCCACGCGUGGACUUCUCCAGGUACCCUGCGGAUAAGGGCCGGGUAAUUCCGUGCCAGGAGCCGCGGUAAUACGGAAGGACCGAGCGUUAUCCGGAUUCAUUGGGCUUAAAGGGAUCGUAGGCGGGCGUUCAAGUCCGCUGUAAAAUCUUGCGGCUCAACCGCGCCCCGCCGUUGAAACUGGUGGCCUGGAGUGGGCAAGAGGCAGGCGGAAUGCGUGGUGUAGCGGUGAAAUGCAUAGAUAUCACGAGGAACCCCGAUUGCGAAGGCAGCCUGCCGGGGUGCGACUGACGCUGAGGCUCGAAGGUGCGGGUAUCGAACAGGAUUAGAUACCCCGGUAGUC
Molecule: ribosomal RNA, 459 nt
Filed under: uncultured bacterium
Lineage: Bacteria
Description: partial 16S ribosomal RNA
Rfam family: Bacterial small subunit ribosomal RNA
Source: RNAcentral